UGGAAAGAGGAGUGGCGGACGGGUGAGUAACACGUGGGUAACCUGCCCAUCAGAGGGGGAUAACACUUGGAAACAGGUGCUAAUACCGCAUAACAGUUUAUGCCGCAUGGCAUAAGAGUGAAAGGCGCUUUCGGGUGUCGCUGAUGGAUGGACCCGCGGUGCAUUAGCUAGUUGGUGAGGUAACGGCUCACCAAGGCCACGAUGCAUAGCCGACCUGAGAGGGUGAUCGGCCACACUGGGACUGAGACACGGCCCAGACUCCUACGGGAGGCAGCAGUAGGGAAUCUUCGGCAAUGGACGAAAGUCUGACCGAGCAACGCCGCGUGAGUGAAGAAGGUUUUCGGAUCGUAAAACUCUGUUGUUAGAGAAGAACAAGGACGUUAGUAACUGAACGUCCCCUGACGGUAUCUAACCAGAAAGCCACGGCUAACUACGUGCCAGCAGCCGCGGUAAUACGUAGGUGGCAAGCGUUGUCCGGAUUUAUUGGGCGUAAAGCGAGCGCAGGCGGUUUCUUAAGUCUGAUGUGAAAGCCCCCGGCUCAACCGGGGAGGGUCAUUGGAAACUGGGAGACUUGAGUGCAGAAGAGGAGAGUGGAAUUCCAUGUGUAGCGGUGAAAUGCGUAGAUAUAUGGAGGAACACCAGUGGCGAAGGCGGCUCUCUGGUCUGUAACUGACGCUGAGGCUCGAAAGCGUGGGGAGCAAACAGGAUUAGAUACCUGGUAGUCCACGCCGUAAACGAUGAGUGCUAAGUGUUGGAGGGUUUCCGCCCUUCAGUGCUGCAGCAAACGCAUUAAGCACUCCGCCUGGGGAGUACGACCGCAAGGUUG
Molecule: ribosomal RNA, 826 nt
Filed under: uncultured low G+C Gram-positive bacterium
Lineage: Bacteria; Bacillati; Bacillota
Description: bacterial SSU rRNA
Rfam family: Bacterial small subunit ribosomal RNA
Source: RNAcentral